CUGAGCCGAGGAAGAUUUCAUUACACGCAUAGUUCAUCCGAGUAGCUACUACUGCAAUGCGGAUACUAUAGCAUAGUCUUUCGCUCCUAUCUGAUGGCCAGC
Molecule: small nucleolar RNA, 102 nt
Filed under: Helicosporidium sp. ATCC 50920
Lineage: Eukaryota; Viridiplantae; Chlorophyta; Trebouxiophyceae; Chlorellales; Chlorellaceae
Description: Small nucleolar RNA snR60/Z15/Z230/Z193/J17
Rfam family: Small nucleolar RNA snR60/Z15/Z230/Z193/J17
About the family: The members of this family belong to the C/D class of snoRNAs which contain the C (UGAUGA) and D (CUGA) box motifs. Most of the members of the box C/D family function in directing site-specific 2'-O-methylation of substrate RNAs.
Source: Rfam by way of RNAcentral